UGCCCUUCUCUGCGGAAUAGCCACUGGAAACGGUGAGUAAUACCGCAUACGCCCUUCGGGGGAAAAGGAUUUAUCGGAGAAGGAUCGGCCCGCGUUAGAUUAGAUAGUUGGUGGGUAACGGCCUACCAAAGUCUACGAUCUAUAGCUGGUUUUUAGAGGAUGAUCAGCAACACUGGGACUGAGACACGGCCCAGACUCCUACGGGAGGCAGCAGUGGGGAAUCUUAGACAAUGGGCGCAAGCCUGAUCUAGCCAUGCCGCGUGUGUGAUGAAGGUCUUAGGAUCGUAAAGCACUUUCGCCAGGGAUGAUAAUGACAGUACCUAGGUAAACGAAACCCGGCUAACUCCGUG
RNAcentral lists this ribosomal RNA (350 nucleotides) under uncultured bacterium. RNAcentral describes it as "bacterial SSU rRNA". It matches the Rfam family "Bacterial small subunit ribosomal RNA", at positions 127 to 507 of the family's 1533-position model. The record is from RNAcentral.